Ictalurus punctatus (channel catfish) is the source of this 4288-nucleotide long non-coding RNA. The record is from Ensembl. Lineage: Eukaryota; Metazoa; Chordata; Actinopteri; Siluriformes; Ictaluridae.
GUCCCAAGCUCUGAAAAGCAGCAACCCCUUCACACACCCCGUCUCUCUCAUUCAUCACGCUGCUCACGUUGAUCACGUCAGCUCCAAAAUAUGACCGAGUGGCGUGCAAAAUCGCCCGCUCAUAUUUAUAGCACGGAGCCAUAAAGCCAGAUCGAUAUACAUUAUGGUGUGGGAUUGUGUUCUGUUUGCUGCUGUGUAUAAUAAAGUCUCUAAUAGGAUUUCGAUGAAAAUGCAUGAACAGAGAAAUAAAUAGACCACAAGAGCAUGAGGAUCACUAAAGCAAAGUGAGGCAUGGGGAUUUGUGGACGGGGAAAAAAGGAAAAGGAGAUUUGGCUUUUCAGCUUCGGAUGUUUGGAGCUGCACAGGAAGUGAGCGAGGAAAAGAAGACGACUGGAGGUUUAACGUUCAUGCUCUAGAAAAGUGAGAGCCGUGAAAUAGACAGAUCUGUGUGUGUGGAGUGCAGCGCUGAGUGCAGUGAGUGUACGCACCUCUACUUAAAAAUCAACAACAACACAUUAGGAGAUUGUUUUUGACUCGUAUGCUUCUCGGAAUAUUGAGAAGGAUUUGAGGAGAAUAUUAUUAGAACGGUAUGCUUCAAGGAACUUUUAGGAGAAAUUUAUAAGGAUGUUUGAUGAUUGUCAUGGUUCUCGGUACUUUUAGGAGAACUUCAGUAAAGCGUUUUCUGUACCGUGUGGUUCUCGGUACUUUUAGGAGAACUUCAGUAGAGUGUUUUCUGUACAGUAUGGUUCUCGGUACUUUUAGGAGAACUUCAGUAGAGCGUUUUCUGUACCGUGUGGUUCUCGGUACUUUUAUGAGAAUUUCAGUAGAGUGUUUUCUGUACGGUGUGGUUCUCGGUACUUUUAUGAGAAUUUCAGUAGAGUGUUUUCUGUACGGUGUGGUUCUCGGUACUUUUAGGAGAACUUCAGUAGAGUGUUUUCUGUACGGUGUGGUUCUCGGUACUUUUAGGAGAACUUCAGUAGAGCGUUUUCUGUACCGUGUGGUUCUCGGUACUUUUAGGAGAACUUCAGUAGAGUGUUUUCUGUACCGUGUGGUUCUCGGUACUUUUAGGAGAACUUCAGUAGAGCGUUUUCUGUACGGUGUGGUUCUCGGUACUUUUAGGAGAACUUCAGUAGAGUGUUUUCUGUACAGUAUGGUUCUCGGUACUUUUAGGAGAACUUCAGUAGAGCGUUUUCUGUACCGUGUGGUUCUCGGUACUUUUAGGAGAACUUCAGUAGAGCGUUUUCUGUACAGUAUGGUUCUCGGUACUUUUAGGAGAACUUCAGUAGAGUGUUUUCUGUACGGUGUGGUUCUCGGUACUUUUAGGAGAACUUCUGUAGAGUGUUUUCUGUACGGUGUGGUUCUCGGUACUUUUAUGAGAACUUCAACAGAGCAUUUUCUGUAUGGUGUGGUUCUCGGUACUUUUAGGAGAACUUCAGUAGAGUGUUUUCUGUACCGUGUGGUUCUCGGUACUUUUAGGAGAACUUCAGUAGAGUGUUUUCUGUACCUUGUGGUUCUCGGUACUUUUAUGAGAAUUUGAGAAGGUGGUUGUCUGAACAUCAUGGUUUUAGGAACGUUUAGCAGAGCUUUGAGGGAAGGUUUUCUGAACGCUAUGGUUCUAGGAUCUUUUAGGAGAAAUUUAGUAGAGCCUUUUUAAAGAACAGUACGGUUCUGGGAAAUUUUAGUACAAUUAUACGAGAAUGUUUUCCGAACAUCAUGGUUGUAGAAAUUGUUGGUAGAAUUUGAGGGAAUGCAUCUCGGUUGCUAGGUAACAGACACAACAAAUGAUUACAGACUAGUUUAGAUGGGAUAAGUAAGGAAUGAAAAACAAAGCAAUGAUGGACUGAAGAGUUUUAUUUCUCUUGUCCCGUAGCACUUUGCCAAUGAGUAAUUAAAUUAAUGAACAAUUAAAAAAGUAAAUUUGCGGCGAAUGUGCUGCUGAUUAACUUCAUCAUCAAAACCUCUUUCAGGCGGAUGAUUUAUUUUUUCCUUCCACCUGAAAAGUGUUCCAGCAGCAAAGGCCUUGGUCUGAGUGAUGUACUCCUGAUUUAUCAUUCAGCACACAAAAGGUUCUUAUUUUCAUGGUCAGGACACAAGGACAAGGUUUUCUUGAUAUUUUCAUGAACAUAGAAUGAAUACAUUAUCAAGAGUUUUGGCGAGGAGUAUUGUAGCAGAACGUUUUCUGAACCGUACGGUUCUAGUAGCUUUUAGAAGAACCUUUUCUGAACAUUGUGGUUCCAGGAACUUUUAGAGAACUUUUUUCUGAACUUCAUGGUGGCUAGAUGUUUGAUCUCCAAUCAAAUCAGCUCCCCUCAUUCACUGUAAAAAAGUUUAAUUUUUAAAAGUGAGAAAAUUUUACAUCGUCAGAUUAAAUGUUUGAAUUAAAUUUCAUUUAAGGAAUGAAAACGUGCUUUAAAGACAUUCGCGAAAAAUCUCAAUAAAAAAAUAAACAGAAUAAGAGAUUAAACCAUCUUCAUUCAACCUGCUAGUGGUUUCCAGCUGCUAGCGCCGAAGUCAAGAACUCCGCUGUCACAUCCACGAGCAGGACUAGCUGAGAUUGAGUCGAGACCGAGUCAAGACCGAGACCGAGUCGAGACCGAGUCAAGACCGAGACCGAGUCGAGACCGAGACCGAGUCGAGACCGAGUCAAGACCGAGACCGAGUCAAGACCGAGACCGAACCGAGACCGAGUCAAGACCGAGACCGAGUCGAGACCAAGUCAAGACCGAGACCGAGUCAAGACCGAGACCGAGUCAAGACCGAGACCGAGACCGAGUCAAGACCGAGACCGAGCCGAGACCGAGACCGAGACCGAGUCAAGACCGAGACCGAGUCGAGACCAAGUCAAGACCGAGACCGAGACCGAGUCAAGACCGAGACCGAAAAGCAUCAACUCCUUUACUUCAACUAGUCACCUUCAUUCAUGCAUUGUUCCAGUAAAUAGACUGUUUCUAGAAGAAUGAAUUGCCUCUUAUCAAACUUUGUGCAAGCAAAAACAAAAGAUGAACAUUAUUCUUACAAACUCUGGCUGGAGAUUCGUAAAAGACCAGAUUUAAUGAGACGAAUACCCAAGACUGAGACAAGUCCAAGUCCAAAUGUUGCAUGAAUCAUGUCCUACGGCUAGAAACUGUACAACAUACAAUAGAUUAUGUUCAACAUGGCUCAUAAAAUGUUCUCCUAAAAGUUCCUAGAACCAUGUUGCUCAGAAACUGUUCUCCUAAAAUCCUCAUAAACGUUCCUCGAUAAACAUGGUUUAUAAAAUGUUCUCCUAAAAUCCUCCUAAAACUUUCUAGAUCAACAUGGUUCAUAAAAUGUUCUCCUAAAUGUUCCUAGAACCAUGAUGCUCAUAAAAUGUUCUCCUAAAAGCCUUCUAAUAGUUUCUCAGUCAAUGUGGUUCAUGAAGCAUUCUCCUAAAAGUUCCUAGAUCAGCAUGGCUCAUAAAAUGUUCUCCUAAAAGUUCCUAGAACCGUGUUGCUCAUAAAAUGUUCCCCGAAAAUCCUCAUAAAACUUUCUAGAUCAACAGGGUUCAUAAAAUGUUCCUAGAACCACGAUGCUCAUAAAAUGCUCUCCUAAAAGCCUCCUAAAAGUCUCUAGAUCCUUGUGGUUCACGAACCAUUCCCCUAAAAGUACCUAAAUCAACGUGGUUCAUAAAAUGUUCUCCUAAAAAUUUCUAGAUCAACAAGGUUCAUGAAAUAUUCUCCUAGACGUUUUUAGAACCACGCCAUUCAGCAAAACUUCUGUGAAUUCCUAGAUCCAAACUGUUCGUGUUCUCCUAAAGUUCUCCUUAAAGUUCUUUUGCAUCUCCGCCGAUGUUUUUUUGGUUCGUUUAAUCAUGUGCGGCGUGAAACCAAACCCAACCUUUAGCCAAACGAAGCAGAAGUAUGGAUUCGACUCGGAUUCGGAUUCGGGUUCGGAUCCGUUAGACACAUCGACAGGUUUAUUAGAAAUGAGAAUCCGCUCUUUGUGAACUUUUACACUUGACAUUUCUUUCUCAGCGAUAUUCCACAUCAUCCUGCAUGAUUUCGUCUCUGAGCUGAUUGAAAUCCUCUCUCGCUGCUACAGCAAUAUUUCCUGCAGAAAUUCGUGCACACACACACACACACACACACACACACACCCUAUGGAACACCAUUUGAGGUCAAAAUGAAAUAUAUAAAUAUGACAUAAUGAAAUAAAUCAUCAUGAGAAUCGCCCACGCUGCUCCAGCAGCUGCCGUAACGCUUUCACCUCGGACGCUUCGCGCUAAUCUGCACGCCAUUAAAAUAGCAUUUUCAACCGAAACAUGUGAACU